UUAACUUAAAUUUGUAUGCAGUCGGAACGUUUGCCUACGUUUGCCGCUAGGGGCGCUGUUCCAACUGCAUAGAAAUUUGAGUUA
Molecule: non-coding RNA, 84 nt
Organism: Bombyx mori (domestic silkworm)
Lineage: Eukaryota; Metazoa; Arthropoda; Insecta; Lepidoptera; Bombycidae
Source: Rfam